Molecule: ribosomal RNA, 468 nt
Filed under: uncultured bacterium
Lineage: Bacteria
Description: partial 16S ribosomal RNA
Rfam family: Bacterial small subunit ribosomal RNA
Source: RNAcentral
GACGAACGCUGGCGGCGUGCUUAACACAUGCAAGUCGAACGGUGAAAGAAGAGCUUGCUCUUCUGGAUCAGUGGCGAACGGGUGAGUAACACGUGAGUAACCUGCCCCAGACUCUGGAAUAAGCGCUGGAAACGGCGUCUAAUACCGGAAACGAGACAGAGCUGCAUGCCUACUGUCUGGAAGGUUUUUCGGUCUGGGAUGGACUCGCGGCCUAUCAGCUUGUUGGUGAGGUAACGGCUCACCAAGGCAACGACGGGUAGCCGGCCUGAGAGGGCGACCGGCCACACUGGGACUGAGACACGGCCCAGACUCCUACGGGAGGCAGCAGUGGGGAAUAUUGCACAAUGGGCGAAAGCCUGAUGCAGCGACGCCGCGUGAGGGAUGACGGCCUUCGGGUUGUAAACCUCUUUCAGCAGGGAAGAAGCGAAAGUGACGGUACCUGCAGAAGAAGCACCGGCUAACUACGUG